RNAcentral lists this long non-coding RNA (520 nucleotides) under Homo sapiens (human). RNAcentral describes it as "HSALNT0257073". Lineage: Eukaryota; Metazoa; Chordata; Mammalia; Primates; Hominidae. The record is from RNAcentral.
GGGUAAACCCUAUCCUGGUCUGUAGCCAUGAACAGGGGUACUGUAGUUUCCCACGUGAAUGAGAGCCUGCCUUCUGAAUAGAACACUUCUCAACCUUACGCUUUAACAGCAUUUCACAACUCCCACCCUAGCUCUCAAAUCUCCCUUAGAGGCACUUAUUUUGGAAAUGGCAUCUUGCUACAUCUUUGAUCUGGUCUUUGAGACCCAGGCUGGUCUCAAAAUCCUGGCCUGAAGCAAUUUUCCAACCUUAAUGUUCCAUGGAGCUGUCAUUACAGGUGUGAGUCAUAAUCCUGGUUCUCUCAUAAAGGUAUUUUUGUCAGCGAUGGCUGACUUGUUUUGCUGUAAGGGAAUAUGAAAAUAGGGCACUUUUAAUCUUUUCAUUUUACUGAUGUCACUCUCCCUAUAUAUUUUUACUUUCUAUGUUCUCUUUCAGAUUUGUCUGUAAUUUUAGAUUCAAAUAUUGAAGACAAUAUGCUAGAAUUUGCAUGAUAUGCCUGAAGUAAAUUACAUAAUUAGUAGG